Molecule: long non-coding RNA, 281 nt
Organism: Neopelma chrysocephalum (saffron-crested tyrant-manakin)
Lineage: Eukaryota; Metazoa; Chordata; Aves; Passeriformes; Pipridae
Exons: 3
Source: RefSeq, a predicted model, not a curated record
CCGCCCCCCCUCAUGAAUAAUCCCCGCCCUCGUUACCGGCGGUGACGCCGCGCGCGGUGACGCCCGAAGAGCGCAGGAGAGAACGGGAGCGGCCGGCGCCAUGUGCGACUUCUCGGAGGAGCAGACCGCGGAGUUCAAGGAGGCCUUCCAGCUCUUCGACCGCACGGGCGAUGGGAAGAUCCUGUACAGCCAGUGCGGGGACGUGAUGCGGGCGCUGGGCCAGAACCCCACCAACGCCGAGGUCAUGAAGGUGCUGGGCAACCCCAAGAGCGAUGGUGAGU